CUCUCCGGCACUGCUCAGCUAACUCACCCAAUGCAGCCUGCAGCAGGGAACGGCCAGUUCUUUUGCUCUCAGGUCCUCAGAUCCGGCUCACCCACACUCAGACCACCAGGGCCAGCUCUGCUGUUAUGCCCAGGCCAGCAUAAAUAAAAUUAAGCCGCUAGCAGGAGGCCAAAGGCCCAGCAGCCGUUCCAGUACAAUUUGAAUGGAUGCAGAUGAAAUUACAGAGUCACAUCUUAUCCAUUGGAUGCUGUCCCAGUUAUGAGUAUAGUCACCUCAGAGAGUUCAGGGACAGCGGAGGAGGAGGAGGGAAAGAAGAGCAAUUCUUUCCCGGUGGGGCAAAAAUGUUCCUGAUGCAAGAUGCAAGCGGAGCACAGGCCGGCGCAAAGGCUGGAUUCGGACUGUACACAGCUCAACCAUGGAGACUGAAUGCCGCCAAUCACAGCAAGCUGCGCAUGAGCACAGCUGGCUCCUGGAAGCAGAGGGACUGAUUUUAGUUUCAGAUAUUUGACAUUAAUAAGAAUUAGCAUCAGUGAGGGGCAGGGGAGGAGGAGAGGGAGAGG
This is a long non-coding RNA of Mesocricetus auratus (golden hamster), 560 nucleotides long. RefSeq lists it as uncharacterized. The transcript has 4 exons. Lineage: Eukaryota; Metazoa; Chordata; Mammalia; Rodentia; Cricetidae. The record is from RefSeq and is a predicted model, not a curated record.